RNAcentral lists this ribosomal RNA (499 nucleotides) under uncultured bacterium. RNAcentral describes it as "partial 16S ribosomal RNA". It matches the Rfam family "Bacterial small subunit ribosomal RNA", at positions 28 to 507 of the family's 1533-position model. The record is from RNAcentral.
GAUGAACGCUGGCGGCGUGCCUAAUACAUGCAAGUCGAGCGAACAGACGAGAGUGCUUGCACUCUCUGACGUUAGCGGCGGACGGGUGAGUAACACGUGGGUAACCUACCUAUAAGACUGGGAUAACUUCGGGAAACCGGAGCUAAUACCGGAUAAUAUUUAGCUUCGCAUGAAGCAAUAGUGAAAGACGGUUCUGCUGUCACUUAUAGAUGGACCCGCGGUGUAUUAGCUAGUUGGUGAGGUAACGGCUCACCAAGGCAACGAUACAUAGCCGACCUGAGAGGGUGAUCGGCCACACUGGGACUGAGACACGGCCCAGACUCCUACGGGAGGCAGCAGCAGGGAAUCUUCCGCAAUGGACGAAAGUCUGACGGAGCAAUGCCGCGUAAGUGAAGAAGGUGUUCGGAUCGUAAAACUCUGUUGUAAGGGAAGAACAAGUACGUUAGUAACUGAACGUACCUUGACGGUACCUUACCAGAAAGCCACGGCUAACUACGUG